This 11022-nucleotide long non-coding RNA is filed under the name Sorghum bicolor (sorghum). RNAcentral's name for it is "long non-coding RNA (SBIC_LNC007556)". Lineage: Eukaryota; Viridiplantae; Streptophyta; Magnoliopsida; Poales; Poaceae. The record is from RNAcentral.
UUUACUGCAAUGCAACUGCCUUCGUUGCAUCUCUGGCCAUCAUCAUGCUGCUGGUUAACAGAAAGCUUUCAACAAAGGGGAUACAGUCCUACGCACUCAGGGUGUGCGUGAUCCUUGACCUGGUUGGGCUCAUGGGCGCGUUUGCUGCAGGAAGCUCCAGGAAGGUAUCCACAUCCAUAUAUGUCUUCGUCCUGGUCUUUGCAGUUCUGAUAUGCAUCGCCCUCCAAGUUAUUCUGGUUGUGUCAGAGUCGGUUCAGGGUCUCUUGCAGAGACUCCUGUCCUUCUUUGACGUAACGGAAGACGAAGCCGGUGACAGAUUGCCACAUACAGCUGCUGAUGCAGAGGCAGAAGAUCCCUGGUAUAAGAAGUUGCCCAAAUACUUGUUGCUGCUGGCUGCACUUGCAGCGGCUGUCACUUACCAAGCCGCCAUGAGCCCGCCCGGUGGGCUCUGGGGCGACGGCCAAGCUGGCCACAUAGCUGGUGAUCCGGUUCUUCGGAGCACCUAUCCACGCCGGUACAAGGCCUUCUUCUACUGCAACGCGACUUCCUUCAUGGCCUCUCUGGUGAUUAUGGUUUUGCUCCUGAUCAAAAGAGUGAGCAGCGCACAGUCAGCGAUAUUGGCGCUGCAUGCUGCCAUGAUCCUGGACUUGUUUGGCCUCAUGGGCGCCUAUGCUGCCGGGAGUUGCAGGAGAGUCAGGACAAGUGCUUACAUCUUGGCAUUGGUGGUUGGGGUUUCCACAUACAUAGUUGUUCUUGUUGUUGUGUCCAUAGGUAUUGCAAAAUGGAUGAAAAGAGUCAUGUGUGGGAUGAGAGAACGCCUGAUCCGGUGCUUCUCUGUAGAAGAUUUGUAGAGCCUGAUGCGAAGAAUUUUUAAGGGAAGUCACAGGUGUAAAGGUUGUAGCCUUGUAAUUACUACCUUUGUAAAUUUAGCUUUUGAACAUUAGGCAGGCAUCCAAAUCUAGCAUGUUGUCUUUUAGAGCCAUUGCUGUAAUUUGAGUAAUCCAUUGCGGCAUUUCUUCACAACUCCUUUACUACUGGCGCCUGAAAACUCGAUUCCGUCAGCAGACCAUGUUCCUUGGAACUUUGAAUAAGGAAACAAGAAGGUUGACACUUCUUUGCAACAGACCUGAAUGAAUGAACGCAUUUGAUUAAUAACAGAAUUUGUGGGAUCUAAGUUGCUGAGCUCUGACUGCACGUGUGUAAAAGUAAAGGAAUAUACUAAUUAACUAAGUAGCAGCCACAAAAGGCCCAAUUUACACCGUUUUGUCUAGUGAAAGGGCAAGGAAAACAUCCUUUCCUAAUUUCAAUAACAGAAACUCGUAAAACAUCCAUCAAAAGUCUUAUAUAGAAAUAAAAAUCUUCCUGUGAGAGUAAUUACGAUUAAAGAAAGUAAAGUCCUAAGAGAAGAACAAACUAGCAGGUGCACCCACAAACUACCAUCUUUUCAGCUGAUAAUGGCUAGCAGAUGCUACUGCACAUGUUACUAUCAGCAUACACAUAACAAUACUAAUUGUAUCACUCAUGAGACAAAUACAACUCUCUCAACAGGAACCACCUCUUAUUUCUGCGUUGGGCUCAAUAAAUGGAAGAACAUAAAGUUUCAAUGGAUACAGCAGUUUCAAUUUCAAGAAUACAGCUCUCUCAACAGGACCGACUGAGACUGAAAUGGUGAAGGGACAAACUUAAUCCAAAAUGGAUACAGCAGUUUCAACUUUCAAGUAAUACAGCUAUUUUUGUAAUAUCAGUUUAAAUUUCUAAGCAAUAGAAAAUUUCAGAGAUUAUCCAGUAAGAGAACAGAAAGGAAAGACACAUUUGCACAGAGAACACCAUAGUAAAGCAUUCCAAUUCGGGGGUAUCAAACCAUAAAAAGUGUGCUCACCUGUAUUUCUCAGUGACUCACAAUAAUAGGUCCUCCGCCAGCGGCGCGUACCGGAACAGGACGGCCUCCUUGUGCAGGGCAUCGCCGGGCACGAGGCGCCGCAGCCUAGGAGCAGCAGAGCGUAGCCCGCGUAGUUGCGGCGGUACGCGUCGGAGGAUACCGGCGAGGGGGCGGAGGAGGGGAAGGACGUGGAUGGUGGGGAUGCCGCGGCAGCGGCGGCGACGGCGACGGCGACGGCGACGGCGAGAGUCGUGCCGUAAGGCGCAGCGGCGAGGCGGGGGUGAGUUGUUGGGCUCAUAGCCCAUACGAUCCCCGUGGCCCGCUGGACUCCUGUCAUCAGGCCCAUGAGUGAGUUAUUAUAAAAGGAUUUGAGCGUGCCGGACCGCUGCAAGUAAUUCUUGCGUUGUUUGGUUUAGUUAACACCGUAUACGGUGGAGCAAUAGAAUUACGGCCCAGUUUAAACACUAAGAGCAUCUCCAAUUGUUUGGAAAAAUCAACUUGGAAAAGUUUGUCAUUUGGCAACUUGCUAAACCUUUUGGCAAGUGAAUUUUUCUUGUAUCUCCAAUUGUUUGGUAAAUGGGGCUUGGUAAACAUAAAAAGUAGGCCCACAUAUACCUGUCCACCAACAGAAACGCUACGGCCGAUCUCCUCCGGUUCGCGCGACCCUGAGAGGCAUCGCUGCCUGCCGCACGCCGCCCUGCGCCCCUGCGCCGAGAGGCAUCGCUGCCUGCCGCACGCCGACGAUCACCUCCGACGAAGGCUGCCAGGUCUGCCGCCUCAGGUGCCUGUUUUUCUCCACAAGGCGCCCCUGAUUCGUUCGGUCAGCUUGAUUUAUGUACUGCUGUUCAUAGGAUUUAUGGCUACCAAGAGAACCCUUCUUCAAAGACAGUUGGAUGAUUCAUCAUCCGAUGAUGAUGAUGAGUUGGAGAUCGUAGCGGCUGCUGCAAUUGUGAACAACUUUGUCAAUGUUAAGAAGAAACACGGUGGCUCUGUCAAAGGCCGUAGAUUUCUUCGUCGUGAUAGAGAAGGCGGGCAUGAGAGGAUGUUUCAAGAUUAUUUGACGGUGAAUCCAACAUAUGGCCUUGAAAUAUUUCGUCGAAGGUUGAUGCUAAUUCACUUUGGAUGAAAUUGUUUUAUGUGUUUUAAAAAUAAUGAUUGUGUUAAACUGAGUUUUUAUUUAUUUUUUUCAGGUAUAGGAUGUCUAGGGAGCUUUUCGUACGCAUAAUGAAUGCCGUAGAAGCACACGAUGAUUACUUUGUGCAGAAAAGGAACGCGGCCAAUGUACUUGGUUUGUCUUGCUUCCAAAAAAUCACGGCCGCAAUGCGUAUGAUGACUUAUGGGGUUCCUGCUGAUGCGACAGAUGAGUACGUUCGCAUCGGUGAAAGUACAGCACUAGAGAGUUUGCGAAGGUUUGUUGAAGCAGUUGAUGAAAUAUUUGGAGAAGAAUAUCUCAGAUAUCCCAAUGAGGCAGACACCGCGCGAUUACUUGCAAUUGGUGAGCAAAAAGGUUUUCCAGGAAUGCUAGGGUCAAUAGAUUGUAUGCAUUGGGCAUGGAAGAACUAUCCGUAUGAGAAACAGGGUCAAUACAAGGGUCAUGUGGAGAAACCAACUAUCAUUUUGGAGGCUGUUGCUUCGGACGACCUUUGGAUAUGGCAUGCUUUCUUUGGGAUGCCAGGGUCUCAUAACGAUAUCAAUGUUCUUCAUAGGUCUCCUUUGUUUGAUAAUUUGGCAGAAGGUAGAGCUCCAAAAGUCAAUUUUUCAGUUAAUGGCCACGAUUACUCAAUGGGGUACUAUCUUGCAGAUGGCAUAUACCCCACAUGGGCUACAUUAGUGAAGUCCAUCACUGCUCCUAUGGGGAACAAGAGGCAAUAUUUUGCAAAAGCACAAGAAGCAGCCAGGAAGAUGGUUGAGAGAGCAUUUGGAGUCCUUCAAUCUAGAUAUGCCAUUGUUCGAGGGCCGGGUCGCAUGUGGGAUAUUGAAACAUUAUCAAAAAUUAUGAGAGCUUGUGUGAUUAUGUACAACAUGAUUGUCGAAGACGAAGGAUUCGUUGUUGAUCCUAACGAGCGUUUUGAGUACGGCGGUCAAAAUGUGGAGCCCGAACAUGGAAAGCCUACUCGUUCGCUUGAGGAAUACAUUGAAGCUCAAAGGAAGAUCAGAGACAAAGACACAUAUGUGCAAUUGAAAGAAGACCUCAUCGAACAUCUGUGGAACAAUCAUCCAGAUUUAUACUCGUAUAAUAUAUGAUAUAGUUAUCCACACAUUUAUAUUUCAUCCAUACAUUUUAAUUUAUAUUUCAUCCAUACAUUUUAAUUUAUAUUUCGUCCAUACAUUUAAAAUUUAUCUAUUUGUUCACUACAUCUAUGCAAAAUCUGUCUUAUCGAAUGAGCAAUCAUGAGCUGCAGCAAAUUUGUCGCCUAGAACCAAUCAUAAGCAGCAGCACCAAUCAUGAGCAGCAGAAGCAAUCAUCAAGCGCUGCAGGCAAUCUUCAGCAGCAGAUUCAGUCGCCAGCAGCAGCAGAUUCAGUCGCCAGCAGCAGGAGCAAUCAGUCGCCAGCAGCAGAACAUGCAGCAGCAGCAGCAGCAGCAGAACCAAUCAGCUUCUCCUGAACCAUGCAGCAGCAUUUCAGCAUCACGCCAUGCAGCAGCAAUUUACCAGCAAACACAUAAAAUAAAGAUGAUGGUUCCAACACAGUUUCUUCAUUAAUUCAGAAAACUUAAUCCACCACACACAUAACUGAAACAUUUAAACUAAAUUUAAGAUAACUUGAUCUACCACACACAUAAUUGAUCCAGCACACACAUCAUGAGAACUAAACUUAAGAUAACACGAAGUAAAAUUAAUUAGGAAGCUCCUUCUCCAUGAUCUUCUUUUGCAUCUUCUCAAUCCAUUGGCGCUGCAUAGGGUUGAGAGAGGACAAGUCAGCCAACAUAAUUUCUUUUUCCUCUUUGAGAAGCUUAGCUUCUACAAUCUUUUCUUCAUUGGCUACCCUCUUCUUCUCUAGCUCUAGUGUAGCCAGGAACCUCUCCUCCUUGGCCUUUUCCUUUUCCUUGUCCAAGACCUCUUUCUUUGCCAUCAUCUUAUCCAAAGCUUCCAUGCAAGCCUCACCACCACCACGUCUAAGGUUUUGUUUUGCCUUCUUUAUCCCUUCUGGCCUUUUCUUUGCUGUCGUUUCUUCAUCAACAACAUCUUCAAGUUCAUUAUUUUAAGUCUCUUCUUCCCCCCUAGGCCUCUUGUCCUUGGUGGGAUUCUUCUUCUUUUUUUGGGAAGCUUGUUUGUCUUUCUCAAGCUCAGCAAGCUCUUUCAUCUUCGCUUUCCACUUGUCUUCCCCCUUCAAUAUAUUCCAACAAUGCUCCAGACCAAAACUUUUCUUGUCUUUGUCCAAUUCGAUGUAGUAUUUUUUUGCUGCAACAACCUGAACAUAUAAUCACACGUCAAAUAAAUAAUCAAAAUUUAAAUACCUAGACACUUACAAAUAAGCACAACAUAAUCACAUAAUUAUAAUGAAUAUACCUUGUCCUCAAUGGUUGUCCCACUUUGAUUCCUACGUAGAAUGGCCUCAUAGCAUGAGCAAAAUUUGUUAACUUGCAACUGAAUUGCCAACCACCUAUGCAUAAUCGAGCUCUCUGUCCUCACAGUGCCCAUCUCAUUAUUCUCUUCAAAGUAUGCGUGAACUCUUCCCCAAAAGGUUGAUUUCGAUUGAUUGGCACCGUUAAUAGGAUCUUUGCUAACAUUCAACCAUCCCGAGCAUACAACUUCAUCUUCCCUGUAAUGAAAAUUCUUCUUCCUGUGCCCCUUUGUGACAGGGGUUGGAGAUACUUCGUCCUGAGAAUCAGUUUCUUGCGUCACUCCAAAAUCCAAAUCCUCCAAAGCAGCAAUACCAUUAACAUCUCCACUCAUCAAAAUGCCUGACAAAAAGUUUUCCUGUCCUUGCAUCUCCAUAUCUAUACAGAAAAAAUUACAAAAAAUAAUACAAGGAUGAUUCAUCUAUGCAAUAUUCAUGAUUGGCUGAAAUAAAAAAUCAUGAUUGCCAAGAACUCAAGAACGGGAUGGAUGGAUCUUAACUGCUUCUGCAAGACGACGCCGCCGCCGUCCAGCACCCACCUCAAAGGACACAGGCGCGGCCUGAUGAACACAGGCGAUGGAGGGCACCGGAACACAGCUAGGCGCAGCCGGAACGGAGGGAUAGAGAGCACUGGAACACAGGCGAUGAAGACGAAGGAGCCGAUUACCAAGGACACCGCAAGACGGAGGGAUGUAGGCCACCGGAUCACAGGCGCGGCCGCCGGACGAUGAAGACCGACGAUGGCGCGCGGAGGCGAUGACGAAGGUUGGCGAUGAAGGAUCGGGCGAGGGCACUUUCAGGUUCGACGCGGGAGAAGUGGCGGCGCGGGUAAAACUCCCUCGCGGCUCGGGAUUCCAAGCGACGCCGAGUGCGGAUACAUCCGCGCGCGACCCCGGCGUUUUCCAAGUUGCAAAAAGAUAGCAAGUCCUAUUCCAAACUGUUGGAGAAGAAUUUUUCUUCUUUUUCCAAAUAAACAAGGAUAGCAAGUUAUUUUUCCAAACAAUUGGAGAUGCUCUAAGGGGGUGUUUAAUUCCACCAUAAAAUCCAAAAUACAAAACAUCAACUACUUUGGAGUGAUGAAAUGUAAAAUAUCAAAAAAAACUUAGGUCGUGUUUAGUUUCAUCUAAUACAGAUACAGAAUUUAUUGCCCUCAUGAGAGGCUCUUUUUGGUUUUUUUGGCCUAUUAAGGCCAAAAUCUAAAAUAGAGAAUAACCAUCUUUUUGUCAAAAAAUUUGCAUAGUAUUUAGUUCCUUUAUGCAAAAUAAUAGAUCAAAACCCAUUUUUUUUGGAAAAAAAGAGAACUAAACACCCCCUAAGCAGGCAACGUUGUGGACAUGCAAAUUCCCCAUGUGUUGCCAUGGCAUUUGGAAAGAAAUUAGAACCAUAGGGAUUAAAGAGGUUGAUGAUGGAGAGUGGAGUAAUUAUUUGAAAAAAAAAGAGAUUUCAUAGUAGUUGGACAUGUAAAUGCAAGUAAUUUGUUUCAUCUCAUUAUAGUUACCAUGUACCUUGAGCAAAGAUACCUAUACCUCUAAUAACACAAUGCAUAUACUGCACAAUAUACAUGUAUGUUGAAAAGUAUUGUUCGCUGAAACACUGUACAAUGGCUAAUAAGUUCAAGCGAACAGGGCUGAAAACACUGUACAAUAAAUGAUAAGUUCAAGCGAAUAAGAAUAUGUCAACGAAUAAUAAGCAUCUUAUGCAUAUAUGCAUAUGUAUAACUUUGUUCAUUAUGAUUUUAUUGGGUUAGAGCAUUUCUAACAAGGACCGUGGACUCAAUCCAACAUGCCCCUGUUCGAACUUCAAGUCCCCAUUUUACAAAGGCCUCCAAAUCUUCCCCCUUAGCCAAGAAUUUCUUUAGUAGAAAAUGUGUAGCUGUAACUGAUUUGGGCUCAUUGUCUGACUAUUGCAAUUGGCAAGUAUGAAGCUUAAGACACUCAACUAGAGCGACUGCAAAAUUAGAGAGAGAGAGAGAGAGAGAGAGAGAGAGAGAGAGAGAGAAACUACAAACUGUUUUCUAGCUUCAGCAAUGGUAUGGAGAGAGAGAGAGAGAAACUACAAAUUGUUGCCAUCCUUGCUAGAUUCUUUUCCAGUUUUCCACACGCGUAUCGCCAUGAAAGCACCACCAUUUUUUUGUCACCGAAAGUGCUUUGAGUUACCAGGAAAAUUACUCCCGUAAGUAGCAGGACAAGUUCCAGACGCGGCGGAUAGCCGCUGUUGAUGCUGACCACGGUCGGCCGGUCGCUACCCUACACCCAUACGAUGUGGACAAAAGGACAUGUGGAAGAUCGGAGAUAGAGUUUACAUCUUUCAUGAUCAAAGAAACACAUCUUUCAUGAUCAAAGAAACAACUGAGCGCUUUGCACCGAUCUGAGCGAGUACAGACGACGCUCGCGGCCAGCAUCACGUCCUUUCAUUACCACUCACAGGGUAUCAGCAGAGACGACGACGAUACAGACACGACUACACGACCCAGACGCGCUCAAAAAUUCUCCACACGGUGUAUCUGUGUAUGAUCCCCACACGGUCGCCAGUUUUCCACACGGCGUGAGCAAGUUUAAUAAUAUAGCCCACUUGCUGGCUGUAUAAUUUCUUGCAGCCUUCUUCCAGCCCACCCAUAGUUAGCUAUUCACUAUUAAUACAUAGCCCACUUCUCCCACUCACAAAGUUUCUUGGUUCGUUGUAAGCUUACAGUCUCUGCUUCUCUUAUCUCUCCUUACUUCUCUCCUCCACCUCAGCAUUUAGCCAACUUACAACCCACUAUAAUACUUACUAAUGGCGUAUCGCCACGAAAGCACCUCCCCAUUCUGGGCUUUGCUGGAGUUGCCAAGAAAAAACACUCCCGUACCAACGCAAGCUCCAGACGCGUAGAGCCGCCGUUGAUUGCUGACCGCGACCGCCCAGAUCCGGCGCCGGCCGGCGGCCACUAACACUCAGCGUCAGCACUUGUAACGCAGCAUUCACCAUUCAUUUCGUUCUUCAGUCUGACGAAAGGGAGAUACUACUAUUUGAGCGAAUAUCCAACCACCAUUGGCAUAGGCCAUAGAAACUGACAAUGGAAGUUUCCUCAAUAACAAGGAACAAUGCCAAUGGAUUUCAUUACAACGAUCUGGACAAAAGAACAUGUAAAUGUAAUGCAUUGCGGCCAAAGAUUGUAUCUACAAAGAAACAACAGAGCACUUGCACUGGGAUCCGGACCGGACGUCCCAAGAAAUUGCAGGAGUAAACAACAGAGUCAAUAGCAAGGUCAAGGCCACGGACGCCAUUGCUAGCUACUAGCUAUUGCCAGUCAGUCACCGUCCUCGAGCUCAGCUACUAUCUUCUCGGAAUGUACCACCACGCAACGACGCGGGUCACCGGUCCUCCACGCGGCGCAGCUUCAUUCUUAAAUCACCGCAGCUUUCCACUGACGUGCUGCUCGUCGUCGGAGCUCUACUUUCCAAGCAAGAAAACAUGCCGCAGUCCCCGAGCUCCAGACGCGGAGAGACGGAGCUCGUUGACGUUGACCCCAACCGGCCAGCUGCUCCGGCGCCGGCCGCUCCUCCUCCCAGAAUGGUCACCACGGCGAGCUUCCUGUGGGAGCUGCGCAAGUACGUGCUGCUGCAGGCCAUGCUGGCGGCCAGCGUCACGUACUCAGCGGGGCUGAGCCCGCCGGGCGGGGUUUGGCCCGACAACAACAACGACAGCUCCAGCGCCGGCGCACGCCUCGCCGGCGACCCGGUGCUCCAGGUCACCUACGCCCGCCGCUACGAGACCUUCUUCUACUUCAACGCCACCGCCUUUGUUGCCUCCAUCGUCACCAUCAACCUCCUCCUCAUGCAAUCGCUCAGCCGCCACCGUGGGUGGCUCCGCGCGCUCCAGGCCGCCAUGAUCCUCGACCAGCUCGGCCUCAUGGGCGCCUAUGCCGCUGGCAGCUGCAGGGAGCUGGCCAUGUCUGCGUACGUUGUCGCCCUCGUGGCCUUGGUCUCCACCUAUGUCUGUGCCCAUGUCCUGCUCUUCGCGCUCUGCGCCCUGAGGAGGCGCGAGGCCGGAGAGGAUGAUGCAAUACCAGACGAAGAGCGUGGGACCACGGAGCGCUCACGCAAGUACCUCCUCAUCUUCGCGACGCUUGUCGCGACAGUGACGUACCAGGCUGGGCUGAGCACGCCGGGCGGGUUCCUGUCGGACAGCCAGGACGACAAUCACCUCGCCGGGGACCCCAUGCUCCGCGGUCACCACCCGGACCGCUUCAUGGGGUUCUUCUACUUCAACACCACGGCGUUCGUGGCGUCUCUGGUGGUCAUCAUGCUGCUCAUGAGCCGGACCGUGACCCAUCACGGGUUCCGCUCAUGCGCCCUCUGGGUGUGCACGGGUGCGGCCUUGAUCGGGCUCACCGGUGCCUUUGCCGUGGGGAGCAGCAGAAGCGUCAAGACAUCCAUCUAUGUCGUUGCCCUGGUGGUCGCUGUUCUAUCGUACAUUGGCCUUCAGAUUCUGGUGUUCUUCUGCAAGCCUGUGGAGAACUGGGUCCAUAACGUCCAAGACACGCUGCAAAGGUAUCUGAGAUUGGACCAGAUCGAGCCACAAGAUCCCCGGGUUCGUGCAGUGCAUGAUCCACAGGAAACCGCCGAGGCUGACCAGCUUCUCCAGAAAUCCCGCAUGUACCUGCUUCUGCUCGGAAUCCUUGCAGCAAGCGUCACAUACCAAGCGGGGCUGAACCCGCCGGGUGGCUUCUGGCAAGCAAAUGCUACUGAUGGUGUUCAUCACUAUCUAGCCGGUGAUCCAGUGCUUCACAACACAUAUCCACGGAGAUAUCUGGUUUUCUUCUACUGCAAUGCCACUGCCUUUGUCGCGUCGUUGGUUAUACUUAUCCUCCUCCUCAGCAACAUAUUCAGCACCCAAGGAAUCAAGUACUGUGCAUUGCAGGUCUCCAUGAUCAUGGACCUUCUUGGGCUGAUUGGCGCCUAUGCUGCCGGAAGUUGCAGGCAAGUGUCCAAAUCUGUGUAUGUCUCCGUGCUUGUCAUUCCAGUGUUCCUGUACGUUGGCAUCCAUGUUAUGGUGUUCAUGUUAGAAGUCUUCCCAAAUAUUGCAACAUGGAGGAAAAAAGUGAGGGACAAGCUGGAGGAAUCUGUGCCCAGAUGGCUCAAGAAGUUGUUUGAGCUGCCGCCAGAGGAAGACGAGAACGUGAAGUGGAAACUGGAGAAGAGGCGCAAGCUUCUGCUGCUCCUUGCCAUUCUUGCAGCCAGCCUCACCUACCAGGCAGGAUUGAGUCCACCUGGCGGCUUCUGGCAAGAGAAUAAGACAGACCAUGUCGUCGGCAACCCAGUGCUCAAUGACAACUACCGACGUCGUUACAUGGCUUUCUUUUACUGCAAUGCAACUGCCUUCGUCUCAUCUCUGGCCAUCAUCAUGCUGCUGGUGAACAGAAAGCUUUCGGCAAGAGGAAUACAAUCGCACGCACUCAGCGUGUGCGUGACCCUUGACCUGGUUGGGCUCAUGGGUGCGUUCGCUGCUGGGAGCUCUAGGAAGGUAUCCACAUCCAUAUAUGUCCUCAUCCUGGUCUUUGCAGUUCUAGUCUGCAUCACCCUCCAAGUUGUUCUGGUUGUGU